Molecule: ribosomal RNA, 401 nt
Filed under: Frankia sp. HsIi8
Lineage: Bacteria; Bacillati; Actinomycetota; Actinomycetes; Frankiales; Frankiaceae
Description: partial 16S ribosomal RNA
Source: RNAcentral
AUGGUUUGGUCUGGGGUGCUCAUGGGAUGUGGAACGCUGACUAUGUUCCUUUGCUGGUCUGGUUGUUGUCCGGGGUUCCUCUGUGUUCUUCGGGUGGUGGGUGGUCGGGGUGGGCGGUACGCUGUUGGGUGUUUGAGGGAGUGAGAUGCCCUCGUGUAUGACCCUGCCUUCUGCUGGCCCGUUGGGGUUGGUGGGAGGCAGGUUUGCGGGCUGGGUUCGUCGUGGGAUACCGCUGUCUUUUAUGGUGGUGGGUCCUGCAGGUGCGGCUGGUUUCCGUUCGUAGUUUGAGAACUGCACAGUGGACGCUGAGCAUCUUUAUCUUUGUGGCCAAGUUAUUAAGGGCGCACGGUGGAUGUCUUGGCACCAGGAGCCGAUGAAGGACGUGGGAGGCUGCAGAUAUG